RNAcentral lists this ribosomal RNA (918 nucleotides) under uncultured marine bacterium. Its description in RNAcentral is "bacterial SSU rRNA". It matches the Rfam family "Bacterial small subunit ribosomal RNA", at positions 8 to 916 of the family's 1533-position model. The record is from RNAcentral.
AGAGUUUGAUCCUGGCUCAGGAUGAACGCUAGCGGCAGGCUUCAUACAUGCAAGUCGAGGGGCAGCAUAAAUUACUUGUAAUUUGAUGGCGACCGGCGAACGGGUGCGUAACGCGUAUGCAACUUACCUUUUACUAGAGAAUAGCCAAGAGAAAUUUUGAUUAAUGCUCUAUGUUCUUAUUUACUCGCAUGAGUAAAUAAGCAAAGCUCCGGCGGUAAAAGAUGGGCAUGCGUCCUAUUAGCUUGUAGGUGAGGUAAUGGCUCACCUAAGCUCCGAUAGGUAGGGGUCCUGAGAGGGAGAUCCCCCACACUGGUACUGAGACACGGACCAGACUUCUACGGAAGGCAGCAGUAAGGAAUAUUGGACAAUGGAGGCAACUCUGAUCCAGCCAUGCCGCGUGAAGGAAGACGGCCUUAUGGGUUGUAAACUUCUUUUAUACAGGAAGAAACCUUUCCACGUGUGGAAAGCUGACGGUACUGUAAGAAUAAGGAUCGGCUAACUCCGUGCCAGCAGCCGCGGUAAUACGGAGGAUCCAAGCGUUAUCCGGAAUUAUUGGGUUUAAAGGGUCCGCAGGCUGUUUGUUAAGUCAGAGGUGAAAUCCUACCGCUCAACGGUAGAACUGCCUUUGAUACUGGCAAACUUGAGUUAUUGUGAAGUAGUUAGAAUGUGUAGUGUAGCGGUGAAAUGCAUAGAUAUUACACAGAAUACCGAUUGCGAAAGCAGAUUACUAACAAUAUACUGACGCUGAGGGACGAAAGCGUGGGUAGCGAACAGGAUUAGAUACCCUGGUAGUCCACGCCGUAAACGAUGGUCACUAGCUGUUCGAUGUACAUUGGUACGUUGAGUGGCUAAGCGAAAGUGAUAAGUGACCCACCUGGGGAGUACGCUCGCAAGAGUGAAACUCAAAGGAAUUGACGG